Molecule: long non-coding RNA, 219 nt
Filed under: Solanum tuberosum (potato)
Lineage: Eukaryota; Viridiplantae; Streptophyta; Magnoliopsida; Solanales; Solanaceae
Description: long non-coding RNA (STUB_LNC007152)
Source: RNAcentral
ACAACGGAAGUCUAAGUCUCACAUGGCUAUCUUAGACACAAUCACAAAACAUAAGUAGGGACACGGCCCUUUACAAUAAAAAAAAGUCUAUUAAGUCUAUUACAAGAACCUUAUCAUAAAAUUAGAAUAGAAAAGUCUUGUCCUCGACAUAUGAGGACAUACCACAAGAUCUUGGAAGAACUUCAAGUUCCAAGCUUACUAUAGAACCCGCUCACUUUC